Long non-coding RNA from Mangifera indica (mango), 519 nucleotides. RefSeq lists it as uncharacterized. NCBI's taxonomy places the organism in Eukaryota, Viridiplantae, Streptophyta, Magnoliopsida, Sapindales, Anacardiaceae. The transcript has 3 exons. The record is from RefSeq and is a predicted model, not a curated record.
UUGCAGACUAUUGUUGGUGUAAUUUGUAAGCCGGCUGGACUCAGUCACAGCUAUGGAGCUAUAUUCAUUCCAGAAAGAUGACGAUCCAAUAAAUGAAGAUGUUUCGGAAGUGAAAUUGAUGCUCCUCAUGGCAUUAGAUUCAGCAACCACUGAAAAAACACUCUGUUACAGAUUUAGAAGCUAGAUGAUGACUAAGGGUUGAAGAGAUUUCAACCUUUCUCAAACUGAAGGGAGUUUCAUUGAAUAUUCAAGGGGAGUUGAACACUUUUACCUAAGCUGGAUGUUUUAAGUGAUGAAUGAGUGGAAUGCCCAUGUUCUUCUUCAGACAUGUGCAACUUUUUAUUAAUCUAUAUCUAAUUUUUCAGUUUAUAUUCUAAAAAUUAUUACUGAAAAUUUUGGUUGUUUGAUUAAUUUGGUUAUUGUGAAUUUAAGAUUUCUAAACUUGGUCUCAUAGAGGUCGGAUAUGUUUAUAGUUGAACCAUGUAAUAAUCAUUCAUCCCUCUAUGUGUAAUGCUUGUU